This 1318-nucleotide long non-coding RNA is filed under the name Homo sapiens (human). Its description in RNAcentral is "non-protein coding lnc-NCAM2-12:1". Lineage: Eukaryota; Metazoa; Chordata; Mammalia; Primates; Hominidae. The record is from RNAcentral.
CACAGAGAGUAAAGCCCAUGAAGUUAGUAAAAUAGUUUUAUUAUUUUGUGAUACUAUAUAGCUAAAUUAAAUUGGCUACAUUGUUUCAUAAAUACAUCUAGUGUGGAGAGAGAGAGAGAGUGAGAGAGAGAUAGAGAGAGACUAUGUAUAUUUAAAUGUGUAAAGAAGAAGCAGACCAUUCUGCUCUUUUGUUCAUGCAACUCUCUAUCUGCUCACUUAAAGACACAUUGGCAUUUGAGACCUAAAAUUGUUACUUUGUUGUUGAAAUAAAGAAUGAACGGAAAGUCAAGGACAUUGAUUUUGAUGACAAUAUUGUCAAGAUCUGUAUUUUAGGAGGAAGUAUGUAAUAUUUUUAUUUUAUAAAAAAGUAGAUCUUUAGGGAGAAUGCAUUUAGGGCAACUUGAAUCUGUCUCCUCAGUUUAAAAAAAUAAAAGAUCUUUGGCAAUUUGUUUGAAUUUUAAAAGCCCCAAAUUCUAAAAAUUUACCUCUGGUUUGAUUCACGCACACAUUUAUUCUUGCAUAUACCAUGUCUGAUCUUGGCACAAGAAACUCUCCAUAGUGUGUCCUACAUGCAGUGAUUCAGUGAUCCAGGCUGAUCCAAUCUCAUAAUACUGCUAACUCCACACCAGGCCUCUGCAUCUCUCAAGCAGGGUAGGCAAUUGCCUUCGUCCCUCUGUGCUGCUAUAACAGAAUAGCACAGACUGAGUAAAUUAUAAAAAAGAGAAAUUUAUUUUCUCACAGUUCUGGAGGCUGAGAAGUUCAAUAUCAAGGUGCAAGCAUUAGUGUCUGGUAAGGGCUUGUUCCAUCGAUGGCAUCCUCUCACAGUGACAUCCUCCCAUGGCAGAAGACACAAGUGCAAAAAGGGGCAAACUCUUGCUGAAGCCUCUUUUUUAUUAAUCCAUUCAUGAGGACAGAGCACCAUGACUUCAUCACUUCCCAGAAGGCCCUCACCUCUUAAUCUCAUCACAAUGGAGAUUAAGUUUCAACAUGAAUUUUGUAGAGGAUGCAUUCAACCCGUAACAGCAAUUAUGUUCACACAUUAAUAUAAAAACAAAGAUCUAUCUUUAUAAAAUGUUAAACAUUUAUUUUGCAUUCCAAAUUCCCAGAUCCUAGAGUUAAAAUCAUUAUGAAGAAGUUUUUGAGCCUCUAUUAUAUGGCUGUAACAUUUACAAACCUCCAAAUAUUUCAAAGCCACUGUUUUGGUAUUGAUUAAAUGAGAAUAAAAUGUGUUAUGAGCUCACCUCAAUUGCCCUGUCAUAUAGUAUUUUAUCCCAUUUUUAUCUCUCUCUCUUCCUCAUGAAGCUUUUAGAGCAAUAAA